AUUAGGCCUUAGCUGUGGCAUAUUCUAUGAAUUGCUUUUUCCGUAGAAACUAACUGAAUCUGUAUCUAUGCCCUUAAUAAAGAGAAAUUUAGAUGAACUGUCCCCUUGUGAUGCCCCCUGAAUUUCAGAAGUGAAAUUUGGAUCUUCUCAGUCUGAGAGAACGCAUAGCACUUUCAGAGUUAUCAGGAACCUGUCAGAACCAUUAUGGUCAUCUAUAAGUGUUUUUCUAAACGCUGCUGUUCAUGGGGUCUGAUGUUUGCACUGGAGUGGUGGAAGGCAAUGUGUGUGUGUCAUUCACUCAGACACCAUUUUAUCGGGCACUUACUAUGUGUCAGAUACUGGGGUAAAAGGAUAAGUAUAACUUGGUUCUUGCCCUUAAGAGGUAUUUGGGAAAAAAGGAAAUGGGUAUUAAAAGAAUUACUGUAAUGCAUGGAGAUACACUGUUGUAAUGUAUGUAAGAGCAUAUACAGAUAGGGAGGGUCUCCAGGGACAAUGGAGUCUAAUCAACUUGAGCAAUCAGUCUGUUUUAUGGCCUCCUGCCCUGCAGCCUAUGUGGAAUGCAGUCACCUUGUUGGUUUAAACUGGCUUCUGACAGACCCUGGCAACUUAGAGAUGAACCCAAGCGAACUUUCCUCAUUACCAUGCCAAAGUCUCCACUUGGCAAGGAGCUAUACCUGUAUUACCAUGACAUGCAACCCGUGCACUGGCAUCAUGCCAUGUCUAUGUAACUGGGACCCCUCCUCUACCUGCCAUGAUGCACCAUCUCCCUUCUCCAUUGCCCCAUAAAACCCUCCUGUUACCUGCCCUCUGAGAGACACUGCUUUGGAGAGCACGCUUAGUGUCCUUCUUACUUGCACCAAGUAAUAAAAUUCUUAUUGAUCAAAACCUGCAUUCUCAGAGAGUUACUCACCAGCUGAACACAUUUUUAUUGAGGGUCACAGAGGUCCUGAAGAGCUGGGAAUUGGAUAUAAUCAGAGGCGUCAUGGAUGAUGCCACAGAGUGUGUGAAGUUAGGGCUAAAAUUUAGUAAGACUUGGCAGCAAAAGGGAGAAGGCAUUUCAGUGAUAGCAACACCCAAAGGCACAGGGCAAGUAUGGAGAAUGAGGGCAUGGGUGAAGGGACUGGUGAAAAUCACAUUAAAAGAUCCAGGGCGGCUGCACCAAAUCUGCGGGCACCUUCACGUAGACUGGGAUGAGAGAGCUGCUCUCAGGAGUGUGCAGUGCAGGAGCUCCAUCCAGACCCGCCUCACUCUAUACCCUAAUACCUUACUGGGUCUGUUUCUCACCUGCAAACUGGCAAUCAUAGUAACUAUUUUGUUUACAUCUUUGUGUGAUUGAUCAUGAUAAUACAGCCCAUCCUCACGGUCUGUGGAUUCUGUAUUUGCAUUUGCCUGCUCACUAAAAUGUAUCUGUAGCCCCCAAAUCAAGACUCACUGUGCUCUCUUGGUUAUUUGCAGAGUUCUGAAGAAUUGGAAUUCCUGAUGGGCACUUUUCAGCCGAGGUCCCCACAGGGAGACCCUGUUUUCCUGUGUCAGCUCUCAUACUAUAAGCAAGUGUUACAGGGUCUAUUUAGUGCUACGAUUUUCAUGUUUUUGUUCUUUUUUGUUGGUGAUUUCACUGUUAAAAUAGCCUCCAAGCUUACUGAUAAAGUGUUGUCUAGUAUUCCUGAGCAAUAGAAGUCUGUGAUGUGCCUUAUGGGAAAAAUAUGUGUGUCAGAAAAGCUGCUUUUGUACUCUUGGCUGGGAGUUCAGUGUUAGUGAAUCAAUAAUAUACAUUACACAAAAUGUUUAUAAAUGGAAAAACACAUAAAAUAAGGUUAUGUAUUAACCAAUUGAUGAAAAUAUUGUUAACAGAGGCUCGCAGGAACCUACCCUGUAUUACCUCUCAGAGUGAUGGUUCGGUAUUCACUAAGUCAGUUUUUGCGGCAACUUUCUAGAACAUAAAAGCCUACUGUGAAUAACAAGAAUCAGCGGUAUAGAUAUGAUCUUCAUGGAGCAAUGGGUUCGAGAACUUUACAUGCAUACGUUUAUCUCCUUUAACUGUGAAAAUGGCCCAAUGAGGUAGAUGCUAUAAUGAUUUCCCUUUUACAGAUGAGAAAACAAGUUCGAAGGGGUUAAAAAUCCUGGCCUGAUGUUACUCAGCAGACUGGGGAGCCAAGGCGAGGACCAGGGCGUUUUGUAACCCAGAGUCCCGGGGUUUCUGGAUAUUUACCCUGUGAAAAAUUACCCACUUGUAACUUUUGCACCUUCAGUUCUCGUUUCAAAAAGUUUCAGCAAGAAGAGAUGCCAGAGCUAGAGAUAAACUUGGCUAACGCUCCUCAUUACCAUCGCUAAAAACCCCUUCUGGGGAACUUUAUUCACCGUUUUUCACACCUGCAACAUAGAGAGAGGCACGAUCGAAGACUGCCCAUGCUGCCCUCCGCCCACCUCUGCAUGUAGAAGCUUCGUGUUCACCCGUGUUCAGAGAAGCAGCGCUUUGGGAAACUAUCCCCAGUGUCUUCCUUCCUUCUUAUUAAUUGUUGCAAGUAAUAAAAUCCC
Callithrix jacchus (white-tufted-ear marmoset) is the source of this 2535-nucleotide long non-coding RNA. The record is from Ensembl. Lineage: Eukaryota; Metazoa; Chordata; Mammalia; Primates; Cebidae.